Molecule: long non-coding RNA, 7374 nt
Filed under: Equus caballus (horse)
Lineage: Eukaryota; Metazoa; Chordata; Mammalia; Perissodactyla; Equidae
Description: lncRNA (ENSECAG00000053698.1)
Source: RNAcentral
UUUAUCUUCAGUGGAAAUAUACAACUAUAGGAAGGAUUAUUCUCAGCAUUUAAUUCUCAUAAUAACAAUACUAGUAGCAGCAGUCAAUACUUCUAUAAUGCAUACCAUGUGCCAGACACUAUCCUAAGACUGUAUGUUAUAUAUGUAUGAGGUUUAUCCUCCUCAUAAACCUAUGAGAUAAGCCUUAUUAUUAUUCUCAUAUUACAAAUGAGAAAACUGAGGCACUGAGAGGUUAAGCAUAAUAACCCAAGGUCACGCAAUCAGUAAUUGUUGAUGCCACUGGCUGAGUUAAUGCUGGAACUUUAGAGUAGGCAAGUUAAAUAAUGUCUUGCAGAUUGGCCUUAAAAUGAGCAAAAUUUAAUUAAUGCCUUAUAAAGUCCCAGAAAGCAAAGGAACAUUUUGUAUUGAAUGUGAACUACUAAGGCACGUAUCCGUAACUAAGUAUGAUUGAUUCCUAUGGAAUGAAGUUAUUUCUCAUUACUCUGGUCUUUUGAAAGAGAAAUAUUGUUUUAGUGUUUCACAUUUUUUUCAUUCAUUCACAUAUUUCCUCAUUUAUUCAAUAUACAUGUCCGGAGCACCUUCCAUGUUGAAAGCCCUGGAAGAUUCAGUGAUGAACAAGAGAGCAUAGAGCCCUUGCUCUUAAACAAAUGCCCCAGAGGUGGGGGGAGGCAGAGUAACCACGUAAACAGAUUUCACAUGGUGACAGAAAUCCAACUGGACAAUGGCAUAGGGAGGCACUGAGGAGGCAGGUCUCUUUGUCCAAGAUAGUAGUGGCGACGUUUGAACUGACACUUGAGGAUCAGAGGGAAACUGGUCUAGGUAGAAGAAUCAGCAGAUGCCGAGCUGUGAGACAGCAACAAGCCAAGCUUGUCACCUCGGACGGCAAGAAAAGGGCAAAUGUGCCCAGAACUGGGUGAGGGUCGUGGGAAGGUAUAGGAAGUGGCCAGAGCACAUGGUGCCUGCAAGCCUUGCUAAGGAUUUUAUAUUUUAGUCUCUUCACAACCAAUUGCCUUUAGCGGUUAGAAGCAGGCCAAUGAUAUCUGAUUUGUCCUUUUUAAAAGAUCACCUUGACUGUUGAGUCUCUUACAAGCACAAAAGAGCUAUGCCUCUACGAAGUAUGGACAAUAAAUUUUAAAAAGCCCAACGAGCUCAUAAAUAGUUGGUUCACUAAUUAUCAUCAUUAGUCUCAACCAGACUGGAUUAAUAUAAUUAUAAUUAAUAUAAGCUUGGUGACUCUGGGGUCCUGGGACAUAUUAGAUUAGGGAAACCCAACUAUUUGCAAAUAGUGUGAUUUGAAAAAUUCUCAAACUUGUUGGGGUUCAUGAAUAUUACUUUAUUACUGGGGGCUGCAUGAGAGGGUUAGAGUAAGAAAAGAGGAUAUGAUAGUUGGAUCUUCUGCCUAUUUGCCCUGUCUGUGGGAGAAGCCAUGGGAGGGGGGUGACUACUCUACCGCUGACAAAGUGCUUAAAUUUCAGAACUAGUUCAAUCCAGUGAGUAUUUGCUGAAAAACUACUAUACGUUGGACACCUAGCUGAGACUGCGAAUACAAAGUGAACAAUUAAUCAGAGCAGCUAUUACUAAUAGGAGCCGGCACUGUGCAAAUGCUUAACAUGCACCAUCUCAUGUUCCAUUAAUCUACACAUCAACUCUAUGGGGUCAGUUCAUUUAUUAUCCCAUUUUCCAGAUGAGAAAUCUGAUGUUUUUAAGAGGCUUUGGUGAUUUCUCCAACGUUCUCUACACAGCUGGUCAGGGUGUAGGCAGUAUUUGGACUCAGAAGAUCUGAUAUCAGAGCCAACUCUCUUAACCAUUAUACUCGACUGUCUGCAAGGACCCUACUUGAGAAGUUCAAAAUUAUACAUAUAUCGGUACAAGCGACCCUAAGACUGCCUGGCACAAACUAACUGCUUGAGAGGGCCUGGGUUUAUGUAAGAGGCGCUUGGAGUGGUGAAGACUGUGAGAGUCACAAAAAUGUGUUCUCUGUACCAAAGGGCAACAGAAAUAAGAAAGAAUUAGCGUAGGGCAGUGAGGUCGGCAAACAGCAUGAUGUUGAGGACCAAGAAGCAGCAUUUCUUUUUUUUCUUAUAAUUAUUACAUUAUGUCUACUUCACAGUUAUCAGAAAGAAGUCAUAGUAUAGUAAACAGUGUAGACACACCUAUCCUUGAAUCCUGGCAGAGGCAGAGUAUAUAAUGCAAGACUGGCACCUAGGUGUAGUUAAAUAAGCUUUCAUUUUUCUUUAGCCUUCAAGCAAAACAGUUUUCUGAUAUGCAUAAUUCAGAAAAAUCGAGAAAAUAUUUAAAGCACGCUAUCUCAGAGGAAAGCAAUUUUGCAAAAGAUCUACCAGCAGAAGCAAGUCCAACCACACCAAUGGUUUAGUGAGAUUUGUACUGAUAUGGCAUCAUAUCUCAUGUUGUUUCUUUAUGCAUUUUUCUGGAAAAAGGCUCACAGAGUUCAUAAUUUGCAGAGAUAAAGACUCACACUGACGUGGCAGAAAGAGCUUUGCUCUGGAUUUAGAUCAGUUUAGGUUUUGCUAUGUACUAGAAUUAGGUAACAUUCAUAAUCUUUCUGAGCCUGUUUCCUAUCUGCAAACAGGAGUAACACUACUACAGAGGGAUUGUUUAAAUUAAAGGGCACGUACAAAUGCUAUAUAUCCUUCCAGGCUGCGAGAAAAUGCCUCGUAAAGGGUAAGUGAUCUACAUACACUCUGCUUCCUUGAAACCGAUGAAAGCUGUUCUCAUGUUCUUCACCCUAUUUCUCAGCCAAUGGUCUAAAUAUGAAGGCAAUGUUUAGUUAAAAAUUCUUUCCAUUCUUUCACUGUCCAUCUGCAUUUCCAACAUAUUCUUGACGAAUCAAGUCUCAAUAUUAGUAAUAAUUAUCACUUAAGCUAUUACUGUUCACAUGUUUAAGAUAUUUCCAUGUGAGAUAAAUCAUUAUUCAGACAGAUGGCUAAGCUGGUUUUGUCAAAGAUUUCAAUGAGAUAUAAAUACAUCUUAAUCAGAGUUAACUUUCAAAGAAGAGGAGAGCAAUGAUUCAAGAUGUGGAUAGAAAAACCUUUUGUACAAAAUGUUAUCAAAUAUAUUAAAUCCCUGGAAAAUUAUCUGUGGUGCCAUUUGGGUUUCUAGUUUAUAAAGUACAGCUUCCCUAAAACUAAACUAUUAUCAUUUCUACCCAUCUUCUGUUUUAAUACCCUCAAAACAUGGCUUUUAAUUAACAGUUAAGCUAACUGCUAUUACAUUCAUUCUUCUUUCCUCUUUCUCUGAUUAUAACAAGUAUCACUUGACUCACGAUGAAAUGGGCUUUCUGAAUAUGAGGAAGGGGUCGAGGAGGAAAAUAGGAUACGUAGGGUACAAUGGUCACACAUAGAGUUAGUGGAAGCUUUAGCAGUAACAAAACUAGUGAAAUUAGAGUUAGUUAAUUAGUAGUCAGGAAAAUUUUGUCAUGUAUUACCAUUAAUUGGCCAACUAGACUAAUUAGGCUCACAAACAAUAAAAAGCAAAGAAUGGAAAAUCUAUUGUUUUUGCCAGCUUCCUCUGCUAGUUAUCAGAGCAAUUUUCUCCUAGUUUAUGAGACAAUAACAAUCUAGUGUUCAAAUUUAAACAUUAUCACUAUAAGAUAUGGAGAUAUGUGAAACUUACUAUACUUUCUUCAUAAAUCUAGUAUUAUAGUAUCAUAAAUUCCACAGUAAAAACAACUUAGGAGAAAUGUAAAAUUUGUGCAAACUACAAUAAUUUUUUUAAACUUUGAAAAAAUUAAAAAAGAUUGCUGACUACACCUUGGCACCCUUUCCUUUGUAGACUAUGUUAGAGCCAGGCUUUCCUUGACUGAGAGCUACUGUACUACAGCGAAAGCCUCUAUUCAUAUUCAUAAUCAUCAGGCAAAUCAGGGAGCUGACUUGCUUAGAAUCAGACCUGGGAGCCAUCUGUUUGAAAUGUAAUCAAGAAAGAUAGGACCCCCGUUCUCUGUGGGAGGUAUUGAGUGAUGAUCAGUUGCAUGACUAACUAGAGACGAAGCUGCUCAAACAUUGUUUAACCCACGAGAAGUCUUUUAUAUGACACAGCAGCUCAGUAAGUAAGGGUUGAAUGAAUGAGAGGACAGAUCCCCUUCACACACUAUCAUAAUGAUUGAAUGCUUCUGUAAGAAUCUGAGGUUUAAUUUUGUGGUCAAGUGCUUAAGAUGGAAAUGGAAGUCAAUACUCCCAUUUGACUUAUAAAAUGACCUCUGUCCUCAGCAGAUAGUUAAAAAGGUUAGUUUUAGUGGCCAGCCUGGUGGCAUAGUGGUUAAGUUUGCACGCUCCGCUUCGGUGGUCUGGGGUUCUCAGGGUUCGGAUCCUGGGCAUGGACCUAUACACUGCCUAUCAAGCCAUGCUGUGGUGGUGUCCCACAUACAAAAUAGAGGAAGACUGGCAUAGAUGUUAGCUCAGUGACAAUCUUCCUCAAGCAAAAAGAGGAAGACUGGCAACAGAUGUUAGCUCAGGGCCAAUCUUCCUCACCAAAAAAAAAGGGGAGAGAGAGACAGAGAGGUUAGUUUCACCAGUGGUUGCAGAAAACAUACUAAAUGGGUUAGAAGAACCAAGAUAUUUAUGACAUAUAUUUCAUUGAUUUGAGAACUUAGUGAACAGGUAUUACCUGUAAGGACAAUCAGAUGCCAGUUUCAAUGAUGAGACUGAACUGCAUGGUUUCAAACUCGGCCCCACACCUUGUUAAUUUUGGCUUGCUUCAUAAUGCUUCCUGAUGUGGCCACACAGCCCCUUAUUUUGAGGUAAUAGGUGAUUUGACUGUGCAUGUUUUGGGUUUUUUUUAACAUUACAUAGAAAGCUAGAGUCAAAAGUUGGUAUGCAGUAUGCUAAAUAUGAUACUUUGGGUAUAUUGCUAUUUAUGAUAAACUCAGAUUUACGGAAGUUUACCUCAAACUGAGAAAAAAUGCUAAUUAGAAUUUUCCCCUUAAAUGUAAUUACUGACAAUCUCUUCUUCCUUAACCUUAUGACCUUACAUCUAGGCUGCUUAUUUGUACAAGAUACCAAAGUUGUUACCACUGGAGCAUGCCAUCAAAGAGACAGAUUGUCCAACUGCAGUCAAGAAACCACUCGUGGUUUUGGCAUGAUCACAAAAUUAGCAGUUUUAGUGCAUUAGUUGCUAUAUUAGACAAAGCUCUGGAUUUCAUUCGCUAUUCAGGAAAUCUUCAUUGUAUAAAGAGAACCACUGUGUGGCCAGUGGGCUGGGCCAACUUUUGCAAACUAUAGCAAACCUGGGUUCAUAAAAUAAUUUAAGAGGCAUUCCUGAUCUAAACUCAAACAGAAUGGGAUUAAAUACAUAAAUCCUUGCAGGAGUUUCGACAAUGAAAUGAUCGGUCACUUAGGAUGGCAAUUCAGCUUAACAAAUGCGGCAAUGAGAGGGAUUAAAUACACCCUUUCUGAGAAAGACGUCACGGUGACGUCUAUUGAUGCUAUCAGUGUUUCCACAGGCUGUGUCCAGGAGAUUAUAGUCAGUAUCACAGAAUAACACCGAAAAUACACAAUUGAGUCUUUAUAAGGAGUCAGAAAAAUAUAUUAAAUCUCUCCUGGCAAGGAGAACUGAGUUCUUUUAUUGAAUAUAACCACUAUUUUCACUACAGAAUUAUCAUGAAUUGUUAUUAAUAUUUUCCUAUUAAAUAAAUGAUUAUUAUACGCGGGGAAGACAGAAGGGCAUCACGUCAGCAUUCCAUCACUAAAAGCCAAUCAGGACACAAAAGCUGCUAAAUUUACACGAGGAAUUCUCACUUCCGAUCUUAAGAUUAUGCUAAUUUAUCCCCAUUUUUCAGCAAACCUCUCUAUUAAACUUACUGUUUCUUAUCCCUCACUAUAUCAGAACUAUUUCAAAAGAGAUCUUGUUAGUCAUCUCCCUAAAAAAAAAGAAAUCCAAGCCGUGCGUUUUUUCUGAAAUCUUUGGAGGUUGCUAUGACAAUGGUAUUUCUAGCUCAGCCCACAAUUCACAUUCUUCAGCUCUAACUCAAAGUCACCUGAUUUGACUCGCUAGGUGUCAUCUUCAAAAAUUCCAAAAGAUAUUCCCAAAGUUUUCUCCAGAGAUUGGGACUGGAAAAACAACAGCAUUAUUAAAUGCUGGGGAACUUUAAAAAAAUCAUUUCUAUUUUGAGCACCCUAACACAGCCGUCUUCAUUUUGCAUAAUCCCUUUUUCUUAACAAGGAUGCACGUUCUUACAUGGUUGCAUUACAGCAGACACACUGUUUUGCUUUAUUGCUCCACUAUUUCCAAUAGUGAAAGCAUUUUGCAUAUAUUACAGUUUGGGGGAUUAUUUCAAUAUUAAAGAAUACCUGAUAUUUAGUGGAUGUAACCCAUAAUUAAUUUAAUCGGGUCCUUAUUACUAGCUAUUUAAUUUGUGUUCAUUUUUUUCCUAUUACAGAUAAAUUCACAAGUAACAUUAUUAUGAGUAGAAUUUUUUCUUCUAAGGAAUUGUUUCUUUAGAACAAUUUAAUAAGAGUGAGACGAGGUUAUGGUUUGUUUGGGUUGUAUUUAUAGUAUUUAUAAAAGUGUAAAUCUGAAUGUGUUCAGGUGAGGCCUGUAUUCUCCAUGGCCUACCCCCAGGCCACACUCCACAUUUAUAUUACUUGCCUGACCCCUGAAAGCAUUUGAAUUUUUGACUCCUGGAUUACUGGGUCAAAGGUUUAAGCAUUUUUAUAACUUUCAAUAAAUAUUAUCAUUUAACUCCUCAAAACCAGUCAUACCUAUAUUUCAAUGUUACCAAGUUUCAUUAGAGUGCUUUCUACAUGCUGGGUGCUGUACAGGCAUUGGGGACACCAUGAUGAAAUAAGACAAUGAACAGGGAGUGACAACACAGUGUGAUGUAACAGCACUUGGAAUAGGGCGAACCCAUGAGAAGGGCAGAAACCAGCCCUCCCCAAACAGGGUCGUUACAUGGCGGAGGGGUGGCAGGCAGGUGACAUAUGGCAGAAUGAGAGAAUUUCAGGUACCACAUGCAGUGGCCUAGAAGAUAUAAAGCAAAGCACAUGUUAAGUAUUAUGAGAACAUGGAGGGUUGAAAAUGUUGAAAGACAUGAAUACUAAUGAAUAUAGAUAAGAGUUUUAUAACAACAGAGCCAUCAUUAGAUGUCACUUAAUAAUUUUUGUCUAACUUAUUAAAUGUAUAAGCAUAUAAUAGUAAAGUGGCUGUAAUAUGCAUCGCAUAUGAGAAAAUCAAAUUCCUGGCAUAAUCAAUAGAAAGAAAAGUGGCACAGAGAUAACUUGAGAGAAGAGAGGCUUGUGGGGCCUGAUGGCAGCACGGGCCUAUGUGUACAAGAGGAGGUGAAGGAGCUGCAGCCAUAGGUUGGCACAGCUGAAGUACCUGGAGUGCCAGGCUAAGGCGUUUACCUUGGACUUAUUCAGU